UGCGCAGGCGGUUUUGUAAGCCAGAUGUGAAAUCCCCGGGCUUAACCUGGGAAUGGCAUUUGGGACUGCAAGGCUGGAGUGCGGCAGAGGAGACUGGAAUUCCUGGUGUAGCAGUGAAAUGCGUAGAUAUCAGGAGGAAUACCGAUGGCGAAGGCAGGUCUCUGGGCUGACACUGACGCUCAUGCACGAAGCGUGGGAGCAAACA
Molecule: ribosomal RNA, 205 nt
Filed under: uncultured bacterium
Lineage: Bacteria
Description: partial 16S ribosomal RNA
Rfam family: Bacterial small subunit ribosomal RNA
Source: RNAcentral